GGAAAAGAAAAUAUGUAAGAUGGGCAGGCAUCAUCCGAUCUGCACAGCUCAUGUUCUAGGUUCUGAAGUAAUUACAUUGUUGAACCAGAUCUUGCUGGGUGAGAGGGCAACUAACUGCAUGCAAAUCAGUGCUCACGUCCUUGGGAGGAAUGAUAGAGAAUUGUGCACCGUCUGUCCACUGAGACGCGGAUGAUAGAGAAUUGUGCACCGUCUCCCCACUGAGACGUGGAUAAUAGAGAAUUGUGCACCGUCUCCCCACUGAGACGUGGAUAAUAGAGAAUUGUGCACCGUCUCCCCACUGAGACGUGGAUAAUAGAGAAUUGUGCACCGUCUCCCCACUGAGACGUGGAUGAUAGAGAAUUGUGCACCGUCUCCCCACUGAGACGUGGAUAAUAGAGAAUUGUGCACCGUCUCCCCACUGAGACGUGGAUGAUAGAGAAUUGUGCACCGUCUCCCCACUGAGACGCGGAUGAUAGAGAACUGUGCACCGUCUCCCCACUGAGACGUGGAUAAUAGAGAAUUGUGCACCGUCUCUCCACUGAGACAUAUAUGAGUGGACUGCCUCUCCUGCGGAUGUGAGCUCGGCCUGGUACUCACACUGCUGUGUGCUAUGGACUUUGUUUGUCUCAGCCCAUGUUUUUACCGUUCCUCAAAAAGAUGAGCCCACCGGGCAUCACACUGCAAAAGUCUCCAUGCUUAGGCCU
RNAcentral lists this long non-coding RNA (704 nucleotides) under Homo sapiens (human). Its description in RNAcentral is "HSALNT0344449". The record is from RNAcentral. Lineage: Eukaryota; Metazoa; Chordata; Mammalia; Primates; Hominidae.